GUGGGGAAUAUUGCACAAUGGGGGAAACCCUGAUGCAGCGACGCCGCGUGAGUGAAGAAGUAUUUCGGUACGUAAAGCUCUAUCAGCAAGGAAGAAAAUGACGGUACUUGACUAAGAAGCCCCGGCUAACUACGUGCCAGCAGUCGCGGUAAUACGUAGGGGGCAAGCGUUAUCCGGAUUUACUGGGUGUAAAGGGAGCGUAGACGGUAUGGUAAGUCAGAUGUGAAAGCCCGGGGCUCAACCCCGGGACUGCAUUUGAAACUAUCAGACUAGAGUGCAGGAGAGGUAAGUGGAAUUCCUAGUGUAGCGGUGAAAUGCGUAGAUAUUAGGAGGAACACCAGUGGCGAAGGCGGCUUACUGGACUGUAACUGACGUUGAGGCUCGAAAGUGUGGGGAGCAAACAGGAUUAGAAACCCCAGUAGUCC
This 425-nucleotide ribosomal RNA is filed under the name uncultured bacterium. RNAcentral describes it as "partial 16S ribosomal RNA". It matches the Rfam family "Bacterial small subunit ribosomal RNA", at positions 354 to 796 of the family's 1533-position model. The record is from RNAcentral.